GUGGAGGGUCAUUGGAAACUGGGAGACUUGAGUGCAGAAGAGGAAAGUGGAAUUCCAUGUGUAGCGGUGAAAUGCGUAGAGAUAUGGAGGAACACCAGUGGCGAAGGCGACUUUCUGGUCUGUAACUGACACUGAGGCGCGAAAGCGUGGGGAGCAAACAGGAUUAGAUACCCUGGUAGUCCACGCCGUAAACGAUGAGUGCUAAGUGUUAGAGGGUUUCCGCCCUUUAGUGCUGAAGUUAACGCAUUAAGCACUCCGCCUGGGGAGUACGGCCGCAAGGCUGAAACUCAAAGGAAUUGACGGGGGCCCGCACAAGCGGUGGAGCAUGUGGUUUAAUUCAAAACAACGCGAAGAACCUUACCAGGUCUUGACAUCCUCUGAAAACCCUAAAGAUAGGGCUUCUCCUUCGGGAGCAGAGUGACAGGUGGUGCAUGG
This 435-nucleotide ribosomal RNA is filed under the name Bacillus sp. (in: firmicutes). RNAcentral describes it as "bacterial SSU rRNA". It matches the Rfam family "Bacterial small subunit ribosomal RNA", at positions 615 to 1048 of the family's 1533-position model. The record is from RNAcentral. Lineage: Bacteria; Bacillati; Bacillota; Bacilli; Caryophanales; Bacillaceae.